GUGCUGGCUUUGGCAGCACAUAUACAAAAAUUGGAACAAUACACAGAAAAUUAGCAUGGCCCCUGUGCAAGGAUCACAUGGAAAUUUGUGAAGCAUUCCAUAUGGGG
Molecule: small nuclear RNA, 107 nt
Organism: Saimiri boliviensis boliviensis (Bolivian squirrel monkey)
Lineage: Eukaryota; Metazoa; Chordata; Mammalia; Primates; Cebidae
Source: RefSeq, a predicted model, not a curated record